RNAcentral lists this ribosomal RNA (467 nucleotides) under uncultured bacterium. RNAcentral's name for it is "partial 16S ribosomal RNA". It matches the Rfam family "Bacterial small subunit ribosomal RNA", at positions 30 to 507 of the family's 1533-position model. The record is from RNAcentral.
AGUGAACGCUGGCGGUAGGCCUAACACAUGCAAGUCGAACGGCAGCACAGUAAGAGCUUGCUCUUACGGGUGGCGAGUGGCGGACGGGUGAGGAAUACAUCGGAAUCUACUUUUUCGUGGGGGCUAACGUCGGGAAACUUACGCUAAUACCGCAUACGACCUACGGGUGAAAGCAGGGGAUCUUCGGGCCUUGCGCGAUUGAAUGAGCCGAUGUGGGAUUAGCUAGUUGGCGGGGUAAAGGCCCACCAAGGCGACGAUCCGUAGCUGGUCUGAGAGGAUGAGAAGGCACACGUGGACGGCGACACGGUCCAGAAGAUUGGAGGAGGCAGCAGUGGGGAAUAGUGCGCUAUGGGCGAAAGGCAGAAGGAGCCAUGCCGCGCGAGUGGUGAAGUUCUUAGGAUUGUAAACCUCUUUCAACAGGGAUGGUAAUGACGGUACCCGGAGAAGAAGCGCCGGCUAACUACGUG